GACGAACGCUGGCGGCGUGCUUAACACAUGCAAGUCGAACGGAAAGGCCCUGCUUUUGUGGGGUGCUCGAGUGGCGAACGGGGGAGUAACACGUGAGUAACCUGCCCUUGACUUUGGGGUAACUUCAGGAAACUGGGGCUAAUACCGGAGAGGAGCUCCUGCUGCAUGUGGGGGGUUGGAAAGUGUCGGCGGUGGGGGAUGGACUCGCGGCUUAUCAGCUUGUUUGGUGGGUAGGGGCUUCCCAAGGCUUUGACGGGUAGCCGGCCUGAGAGGGUGACCGGCCACAUUGGGCCUGCGAUACGGACCAGACUCCUACGGGAGGCAGCAGUGGGGAAUAUUGCACAAUGGGCGGAAGCCUGAUGCAGAAACGCCGCGUGCGGGAUGCCGGCCUUCGGGUUGUAAACCGCUUUCGCCUGUGACGAAGCGUGAGUGACGGUAAUGGGUAAAGAAGCACCGGCUAACUACGUG
RNAcentral lists this ribosomal RNA (468 nucleotides) under uncultured bacterium. Its description in RNAcentral is "partial 16S ribosomal RNA". It matches the Rfam family "Bacterial small subunit ribosomal RNA", at positions 28 to 507 of the family's 1533-position model. The record is from RNAcentral.